ACCGCGAAUGGCUCAUUAAAUCAGCUAUGGUUUAUUGGAUCGUACCCGUUAUAUGGAUAACUGUAAUAACUCUAGAGCUAAUACAUGCCUCGAUGCCCAGACCCCGUCUAUUGCCUUCACGGGUGUAGGUGGGGAAUGGGUGCACUUAUUAGAUCAGAAGCCAACCAGUUGUCGCAUUGUGGCCACUCGUGGUCGCAGUGUGUACGCUGUAGAACUUCUGGUGACUCUGGAUAAUUGUUACAGAUCGCAGUCGGCCUUGUGUCGGCGACGGGUCCUUCAAAUGUCUGCCCUAUCAACUUUCGAUGGUAGGUGACCUGCCUACCAUGGUGAUAACGGGUAACGGGGAAUCAGGGUUCGAUUCCGGAGAGGGAGCCUGAGAAACGGCUACCACUUCCAAGGGAGGCAGCAGGCGCGCAAAUUACCCACUCCCAGCACGGGGAGGUGGUGACGAAAAAUACCGAUGCGGGACUCGUUCAUGAGGCCCCGUAAUCGGAAUGAAUGAAUCCUAAAUCCUUUCAUGAGGAUCAAUUGGAGGGCAAGUCUGGUGCCAGCAGCCGCGGUAACUCCAGCUCCAAUAGCGUAUAUUAAAGUUGCUGCAGUUAAAAAGCUCGUAGUUGGAUCUCGGUAGCAUUGUUGCCUGUGGAUAUUUGGACGGCAGUGUGUGACUGUCGAUAGGCGACUGCGUUGCCUUCCUGCCUGUGCUCGCUUAUGCGGUCAGCUUAGCUGUAGUUAGUUAGUGUCACUCCGGUGGCGCUCAACUGCUGCAGCGGCUAAUCGCGGCUUGUGCUGUGUAGUUGGCAUUGUGGUCGUGCUGUCGCGGUCAUAAACUAGCAUUGUCGUAUCAAGUCCGCAAGGCGAUGGUGUCACCUUUAAGCCAUGUCUGUGGUCUUUGGCUACAGGUGUAGGCGGGUGUUAGACUGAGCUCUGCAUUACUGUGGGGCCUAGUCGGCUCGUCUGCAUGCCUUUGGAUGCCCUUAAAAAGGUGUCUUGGGGCGGAUGGCACGUUUACUUUGAACAAAUUUGAGUGCUCAAAUCAGGCCGAUGUUGCCUGAAAAGUUUUGCAUGGAAUAAUGGAAUAGGACUUCGGUUCUAUUUCGUUGGUUUUCGGAUCCGAAGUAAUGAUCAAAAGAGACAGGCGGGGACGUUUGUAUGGCUGCGCUAGAGGUGAAAUUCAUUGACCGUAGCCAGACAAACUAAAGCGAAAGCAUUCGUCAAGCAUGUUUUCAUUGGCCAUGAGCGAAAGUCAGAGGCUCGAAGACGAUCAGAUACCGUCCUAGUUCUGACCAUAAACGAUGCCAACUGACGAUCCGUGGUGGUAGUUAUUUAACCUUCCCCACGGGCAGUCCCCGGGAAACCUUUAAGUCUUUGGGUUCCGGGGGAAGUAUGGUUGCAAAGCUGAAACUUAAAGGAAUUGACGGAAGGGCACCACCAGGAGUGGAGCCUGCGGCUUAAUUUGACUCAACACGGGAAAACUCACCCGGGCCGGACACUAUGAGGAUUGACAGAUUGAAAGCUCUUUCUUGAUUUGGUGGUUGGUGGUGCAUGGCCGUUCUUAGUUGGUGGAGCGAUUUGUCUGGUUAAUUCCGAUAACGAACGAGACUCCAGCCUGCUAAUUAGUGCACUUGUCCACUGCGCCUGUGAGGGUGAUAUUGGAUAUGGUUGCUGAGGGGUUGUGGUUACGGUUGGCGUUCGCGCUCGCUGUGAUUACAUCAAGGCUCCUCGGUCGACCGCUCCGAUGUCAGCCUCCGGGUGCGGCGCGAGUGCUUACUUCUUAGAGGGACAAACGGGAGAAGCCGCAUGAGAAAGAGCAAUAACAGGUCUGUGAUGCCCUUAGAUGUCCGGGGCCGCACGCGCGCUACAAUGGCGGUGUCACAGUCAACCUUCUGGCCCGAAAGGGUUGGGUAAACUGGUCAAUCACCGUCAUGACAGGGAUCGGGGCUUGCAAUUAUUCCCCGUGAACAGGAAUUCCUAGUAAGUGCAAGUCAUAACUUGCGCUGAUUACUCCCUGCCCUUUUGUACACACCCGCCCGU
RNAcentral lists this ribosomal RNA (2031 nucleotides) under Paradilepis caballeroi. RNAcentral describes it as "SSU rRNA". It matches the Rfam family "Eukaryotic small subunit ribosomal RNA", at positions 86 to 1676 of the family's 1831-position model. Lineage: Eukaryota; Metazoa; Platyhelminthes; Cestoda; Cyclophyllidea; Gryporhynchidae. The record is from RNAcentral.